GUCUAUGGUCAUGUCACCCUGAACAAGUCCAAUCCCAUCUGAUCUCGGAAGCUAAGCAGGGUCGGGCCUGGUUAGCACUUGGAUGGGAGACCACCUAGGAAAACCAGGUACUGUAGGCG
Molecule: ribosomal RNA, 119 nt
Filed under: Pteropus alecto (black flying fox)
Lineage: Eukaryota; Metazoa; Chordata; Mammalia; Chiroptera; Pteropodidae
Also listed under: 1 other name
Source: RNAcentral